ACAUAUUCGACAGUGUUACCACACAAUAACCAAUAAAGUCAGUUGUCUGCUUGCUUAGCUGAGCUCGAUGUCAGCUGACAUCGAGUAACUAGUAAACACGCGUUGUGUGUUCGUCGAGUAAAUACGCGUUUCUUUCUUCGAAUAAUUUUGACGCGCCGAGUGAUUAGUAAUGUUUAAUAGUUAAAUGUUUCGUACUAUUUUUUUGAUGUGUAAAUAAAUUCGGUCAAUGAUAAAAUGUAAGAAGAAAGAAAAAAAGACUUUUAAUCCGAUAAACUAAAAGAUGGAUCGUGAGAACAAUCAAUUGAUUGCAGGAUGCUAAAUGGUUGACGAUUUUCCCUCACGAGGAUAAAGAUGAUAUUUUCUAUAAAGAUGAAAACGCCUUGCAAUGUUAUAAAUUGUUAUCCUGCUUGCAAGGAUAUUAGUUACGACGUGUACUUGGAGAAGU
This is a long non-coding RNA of Monomorium pharaonis (pharaoh ant), 445 nucleotides long. RefSeq lists it as uncharacterized. The transcript is spliced from 3 exons. Lineage: Eukaryota; Metazoa; Arthropoda; Insecta; Hymenoptera; Formicidae. The record is from RefSeq and is a predicted model, not a curated record.